AAAUGACUGUACCCGAAUAAGAAGGUCCGGCUAACUUCGUGCCAGCAGCCGCGGUAAUACGAAGGGACCUAGCGUAGUUCGGAAUUACUGGGCUUAAAGAGUUCGUAGGUGGUUGAAAAAGUUAGUGGUGAAAUCCCAGAGCUUAACUCUGGAACUGCCAUUAAAACUUUUCAGCUAGAGUAUGAUAGAGGAAAGCAGAAUUUCUAGUGUAGAGGUGAAAUUCGUAGAUAUUAGAAAGAAUACCAAUUGCGAAGGCAGCUUUCUGGAUCAUUACUGACACUGAGGAACGAAAGCAUGGGUAGCGAAGAGGAUUAGAUACCCUCGUAGUCCAUGCCGUAAACGAUGUGUGUUAGACGUUGGAAAUUUAUUUUCAGUGUCGCAGCGAAAGCGAUAAACACACCGCCUGGGGAGUACGACCGCAAGGUUAAAACUCAAAUGAAUUGACGGGGACCCGCACAAGUAGUGGAGCAUGUGGUUUAAUUCGAAGAUACGCGCAGAACCUUACCAACACUUGACAUGUUCGUCGCGACUCUAAGAGAUUAGAGUUUUCGGUUCGGCCGGACGAAACACAGGUGCUGCAUGGCUGUCGUCAGCUCGUGUCGUGAGAUGUUGGGUUAAGUCCCGCAACGAGCGCAACCCUCACUUUUAGUUGCCAUCAUUAAGUUGGGCACUCUGAAAGAACUGCCAGUGAUAAGCUGGAGGAAGGUGGGGAUGACGUCAAGUCCUCAUGGCCCUUACGUGUUGGGCUACACACGUGCUACAAUGGUAUCUACAACAGGAAGCAAGACUGCGAAGUUAAGCAAAUCCCUAAAAGAUACCUCAGUUCGGACUGCACUCUGCAACUCGAGUGCAUGAAGCUGGAAUUACUAGUAAUCGUGGAUCAGCGUGCCACGGUGAAUGCGUUCCCGGGUCUUGUACACACCGCCCGUCACACCAUGGGAGUUGGUUCUACCUUAAGGCAAGGUUUUAAAUCCUUGACCACGGUAUAGUCAGCGACUGGGGUG
RNAcentral lists this ribosomal RNA (1004 nucleotides) under uncultured bacterium. RNAcentral's name for it is "bacterial SSU rRNA". It matches the Rfam family "Bacterial small subunit ribosomal RNA", at positions 467 to 1482 of the family's 1533-position model. The record is from RNAcentral.